CACGUAGGGUGCGAGCGUUGUCCGGAAUUAUUGGGCGUAAAGAGCUCGUAGGCGGUGUGUCGCGUCGGCCGUGAAAACCUGCAGCUUAACUGUGGGCGUGCGGUCGAUACGGGCAUCACUGGAGUUCGGCAGGGGAGACUGGAAUUCCCGGUGUAGUGGUGAAAUGCGUAGAUAUCAGGAGGAACACCGAUGGCGAAGGCAGUUCUCUGGGCCGUAACUGACGCUGAGGAGCGAAAGCGUGGGGAGCGAACAGG
This 254-nucleotide ribosomal RNA is filed under the name uncultured bacterium. Its description in RNAcentral is "partial 16S ribosomal RNA". It matches the Rfam family "Bacterial small subunit ribosomal RNA", at positions 524 to 776 of the family's 1533-position model. The record is from RNAcentral.